AAAAUCUGCACUGAGCAUAUUUACAUCUUUGUUUUGUUUUGUUUUACAUUGUCCUGCCAACCAACAAAACAAGACACCUGUUAAGAGCCAUGAGCUGUGACUGCAGGUAGAGGUCUAUGGUGGUUAGCUUGUACAAUGAGGCCCUGGGUGCCAACCUCAGCAAACCAAACCCAAUCAACAAAGUAGUAUCAGUGACAAAACAGGCCCAGGUGACAACAUAUGUUGACGCAGGCAUGAAUACAAGGCGGAGACCCCCGGCCUCUCAGUUUUACUCCAAGCAUGGCCUCCGUGCAAGCACGGCGACAAGCACAGCGACAGGCACGACAGGCACAGUUCUUGCUGGCUCUGCAGGAGGGAGGCAAGGUUUGCAGGAUGAGGAAGUGACUGGUAGACACAGACCCUGUCCAGAGCCAAGGACUGUUUCAUUUGUCAUGCAAGCCACACAAGCACAUUUCUGCUUUGUUUGCAGAACUUCUAAGUCCAGAUUUUCAUAUUAAGUCACUUUUGUAAAAAAAAAAAAAAAAAAAAAA
This 530-nucleotide long non-coding RNA is filed under the name Mus pahari (shrew mouse). RNAcentral's name for it is "lncRNA (MGP_PahariEiJ_G0032974.1)". Lineage: Eukaryota; Metazoa; Chordata; Mammalia; Rodentia; Muridae. The record is from RNAcentral.